This 537-nucleotide ribosomal RNA is filed under the name Eucalliax sp. RR-2008. Its description in RNAcentral is "partial 16S ribosomal RNA". It matches the Rfam family "Bacterial large subunit ribosomal RNA", at positions 1829 to 2625 of the family's 2925-position model. The record is from RNAcentral. Lineage: Eukaryota; Metazoa; Arthropoda; Malacostraca; Decapoda; Callianassidae.
GUUUGCUUGAUCUCAUAAGCAAUCUAGCCUGCCCACUGAAUAAUUUUUUUAACGGCCGCGGUACCCUGACCGUGCAAAGGUAGCAUAAUAAUUAGUCUUUUAAUUGAGGACUUGAAUGAAAGGCUGGACAAAAUGUAAUCUGUCUCAAUCUUUUUAAUUGAACUUAACUUUUAAGUGAAAAGGCUUAAAUAACCAAGGGGGACGAUAAGACCCUAUAAAACUUUAUAUUAUUGAUCUUAAGUUAUGAUUUUUUUUUAAAAUAACUUAUUUUUUAUUGUAUUUUGUUGGGGCGACAAAAGCAUAAUCAUUAACUGCUUUCAUUUGAUACAAAAAUUUUUGUAUAAUUGAUCCCUUAUUCAGGAUUUUAAGACAAAGUUACUUUAGGGAUAACAGCGUAAUUUUUUUUAAGAGUUCUUAUCGACAAAAAAGUUUGCGACCUCGAUGUUGAAUUAAAAUUUCCUUAUAGUGCAGCAAUUAUAUAGGAAGGUCUGUUCGACCUUUAAAUUUUUACAUGAUUUGAGUUCAAACCGGUGUGAG